This 208-nucleotide unclassified non-coding RNA is filed under the name Hevea brasiliensis (rubber tree). The record is from RNAcentral. Lineage: Eukaryota; Viridiplantae; Streptophyta; Magnoliopsida; Malpighiales; Euphorbiaceae.
GAGGGAUGUCACUUAAAUCUAGACCCUCAGUCGGCAAAUCAGAUGUAAGUGGGGCUAGCAUCCCAUCGGAAUUGAGGCUCAGUCCACUCUCUGGCUGAAACCUCAGCAUAUCAGCACGGGCCAUGGCCUCAGCUUGAGCUAUUCUCUGCCUGAAAGUCUGAGCCAUCUCAUCGGCCUUCUCAAGGACAAGCUUUGGAUUGCGAAUCAU